Molecule: ribosomal RNA, 429 nt
Filed under: uncultured bacterium
Lineage: Bacteria
Description: bacterial SSU rRNA
Rfam family: Bacterial small subunit ribosomal RNA
Source: RNAcentral
UGGGGAAUUGUUCGCAAUGGGCGAAAGCCUGACGACGCAACGCCGCGUGGAGGACGAAGAUCUUCGGGUCGUAAACUCCUGUCGAGUGGGAAGAACACCUCCGGGGUGAAUAAUCCGGGAGGCUGACGGUACCACUAAAGGAAGCCCCGGCUAACUCCGUGCCAGCAGCCGCGGUAAUACGGGGGGGGCAAGCGUUGUUCGGAAUUACUGGGCGUAAAGGGCUCGUAGGCGGCCAACUAAGUCAGACGUGAAAUCCCCAGGCUCAACCUGGGAACUGCGUCUGAUACUGGAUGGCUUGAAUUCGGGAGAGGGAUGCAGAAUUCCAGGUGUAGCGGUGAAAUGCGUAGAUAUCUGGAGGAAUACCGGUGGCGAAGGCGGCAUCCUGGACCGACAUUGACGAUGAUGAGCGAAAGCUAGGGGAGCAAACGG